CGCUGCGACCUAUGGCAAAACCCAAAUGGACCACCAACUACAAUGGUCUAUUUCUCAGAGAAGCUAUGUGGACUCAGAAAAACGUACAGAGUUAAAUGAUCCUCAACUGUCUGCACUUCAGUGGCACCUACAUAUACCACCUCAGAGGAGAGUAUUCUAGCAAUAGCCCCUGAAUGACAUACUGCCAAGAAUACCGGCUCUACCUUGAGGGAGCUCCCAACGUAAAGACAAGAUAUGGUAGAAAGACUGACCUUGGCAAUCAGCAAUCCCGCGUUCUAGUCCCUGUUCAGCUACAGACAGGGACCAUGAUCUCAAGUUGCUUCCUCAUCUCUGACACAGUAAUGACGGCAGGAACAGCAGUAAUAGCAAACGUCCAAUUCUAUUAGCAUAAUACCUCAGAGAACCGUUGUGCUUACUUUUACAUUGCAUCACAGAUGUUGAUUACUGAUUUUUUUUUUUUUUUUUUUUACUUACACAGAAGGUGAUCAUUUUCUAUAAUGUUUAUGAUAACAGUAUAAAUAAAGGAAGCCGAGGAUAGAGUUUGGGUCUCACAUUUAAAGCUAUUUUUUUAAUACAAGUAUCCCCCAUUCUUGGUUAGGAUCCAAUUCAUUCAGUACUGGUUUUGCAUUAAAAAUCAAAAGGCUUAGGACACGUGACAGAUGAUUCAAAUAUUGAGAAGUCACAUGGAAGUUAAAAAUGCUCAAAUCAAAGGAGCCUGGAGGCUUUCCUGCAAGAAUCCACUUGAAGCUCACCCAAACUCACGAUUAUUUACACAAUGUCACAACCUUAAUUACUGCAAUCCAAAUUAAGAAUUAGCCAAUUUCCUUUAGGUUCAAAUACCGUAUUUUUAAAAAAUUACAACAUUUAAUGAGCACAGGGAAGACUGAGAGACAAAGCACUCUUCCUGCUAGACUCCCUACAGUAUCUAUGAAACAAUGCUGGCAGAUAAGGAAAACAAUGUAGACGGUGGAAUUCAGAUGCGAAGGGGCUCAGGGUUACUUUACUCAUGCUGCGUGUGAAAUAUCUGGAUUAGAACACAGAACAGGACUCUGAAAUUAAAAAGGCACCUGGUAAAUUCCCACACUAGGGCUUUAUUAAUGGGCUCCACAUAACCUGGCCCCUUGACUGCUCUUCUCCCCUAUUCCUGCUACUUCUCUGACCUCAUUUCCUGUCACCAUCCCUGCAGUUCCAGCCUGGCCACUCUGGCCUCGGCUCUGGACAGGCCCGGCAGUGCUCCCAGGUUCCUGCCUUGUGGCUACUACACUUGCCUUCCCUUGGCCUGGACUGCUCAUCACCAGAUAGGUACACGGUUCUUUCUUUCACACUUCCUUCAAACCUUUGUUCAAAUGUUGCCCUGCCAGUGAGUUUUGUCUGGCUUAUUGAAAACUGCAAACCUUCCUUCCCUGUUUAAUUUUCUCCACAGCACUUAACUGAAAGGCUAUAUAUAUUUUACGUUAUUAGCUCAUUUUCUAUCUUUUCCUCACCAGAAUAAGCGCUUCUGCUUGUGUGUUUUGUUCAUGGCUGUCUCCCUAGUAUCUAGAACAGUUCCUGCCAUGUAGAAAAACCUCAAAUAAGCAUUCGAUGAACAGACUGAGUGAAUAAAUGAACUGGCCACAAUGAAUGACUAUUCAGUUUAAGAAGCUACCAAAUUCAAAUCAUCAACUUCAUUGAAGAAAGGAGACAACAGAUUUAGGAUACUGUGAUUUUAAGGACUUAAGGAAGAUUAUUAUGGUAAUGUAAAAUAGGCUGGAUAAGGAAAAUGGUACAGCUGAGCUCCUAUGACCAACCUCUCCCAAAGUGUCCUCAAACUUAAGAAUGUCUAAGAGUCAGUAGUGAAUCUGACAUGAGUGAUCCAAAGGCCACUUCUUGGGAAACAUUGCCUUGGUGCCACUCCUGGUUAGAUGUGAGACCUAAGAGAAGGGAGCUCAUUCCAUUUAAUUCACCAAAGUCGUUUUAAUCGAUACCAUGGCAUAUGAGUAAGCACUGACUGUCAACAGCUCAAACAAACACAAGAGAUAAUCCUUUGCAUGUGUGUACUUUGACGAAAAGAAUGAGUCUGUCUCCCCAUCAUAAAGAUUUCCUGUGCUGCUUAGACGGUGUUGUGUCUAGGAAUGCUGUUAUCCUAGGUAAGCACCUUAGCUCAAGGACACUUAAAGCAAGUCCACGUUAAGUAGGCCUAACCCAUGACAAAUUCUGGUUUUGCAAUACUAGGUAUUCACUGGCCUGUUUUGUUUUUUCAUAAAGGUCAGACUUACUCCAUGCUUCAGCCACAUACAAGGCCACACCUCAGAUAAGGUAUAAAGCACAUGGUUUACCAGAGUGACAGUAUAAACAAAGUGAAACUAUAAUGGUUCCAAAUUUGGCUCUGGAUAACCAAACUCAGGACCCCCACCCACAGAACUGAAUCAGGAGAGCUACGGAAAGUAUACCUGAGAGCAAUGAUUUUUCUUAAAACAGCUGUUUUUUUAAACACUGUAUCACUAAACAGAAAUACACAGGUCCUCUUUCCAGUCCGCCAUUUCUACCACUGAACUGCUGCAGAGAGCAGCUGGCUACGUUCUGUGUUCAGGAUAUAACUAACUGUGCAAACAGAUGUUUUUUCCAAAUUCCAAGAAGUGACCCCAACCCAUACGCUUUUUACUCAAAGCUUCCAACUUUGUUUUUCAAAUGUAGAAACAGCUGGUGCCUACCUCUCCAGGGAAAACAUUAGUUUCUGGAAGGCCAUCAGUGGGGCGGAGGGAAGCAGGAGAAGAUCAGUUACUAUUUUCCCUCCAUUUCGUAUGAACAUGUCUCUUUCCUUAAGUCUUUUGUCCCAUGGCUUAACACGCUCUUUAUACGCCUUGAAAUAACAGCUGUUGGAACUGGGAGAUCACUAGUGUCCAGGUUGGUUCACAUACAUUCCUGAGAGGUCUCAUUUAAAAGAAGUACUAACUUCGAACUAUACAAAAGAAAUUCUCAUGGAGGUCUAGGGAAUCACUAACCUCAGAAAUCCUUAGUGUUAUCCCAAACUUCUAUGGGCUGCUCCCUAUACUAUAGUUAUAAUAAAUUCUUGAAGGAGUAAUUUUUUUUUUUUUUUUACAAGUAAUACUGAUUUUAAAAGAGAACUCCUACUAAUGUCUUACAAGCAGCUCCAUUUUGUCUGUCGUUAUUUGCUAAGGACAGAGUAGGUGUGUAAUGAUACCCCAAAAAUCAAAAAGUAAGGAAACCAUGUAAUUUCCUUCCAGAUAGGUGAGUGGCCUGGUAAGCCCCCAAGCAAGUUCCAAGUUAGUUGUGGCCAUCAGUUUCUCCAUAAACUCACCUUCUCUCCUUGGAGUGAUGGGACCGAGUCCCGCAAACUGUGAAAGCUGUCUUUGAUGUGGUCCCUACGUUUUCGUUCCAGUGCGUUAUGAUGAGCCCGUUUGUCAGCCUAGAAGAAUGGGAAAAAGAGCACAUUAGCAAUGUCGUUCCUUUUGCUUGGUAUA
Molecule: long non-coding RNA, 3461 nt
Filed under: Lynx pardinus (Iberian lynx)
Lineage: Eukaryota; Metazoa; Chordata; Mammalia; Carnivora; Felidae
Source: RNAcentral